Molecule: long non-coding RNA, 939 nt
Organism: Lutra lutra (Eurasian river otter)
Lineage: Eukaryota; Metazoa; Chordata; Mammalia; Carnivora; Mustelidae
Exons: 5
Source: RefSeq, a predicted model, not a curated record
GCGGGGAAGCGCACACCGGCGCGGGACCUUGGGGACGGCGGCACCGUCCCCACACCAGCUGGCUCUCCGCGAGGGGCCGGGCGAGUCGACUCGCCGCUGCAGCCGGAGCAGAGCAAGCUGCGAGGUUGGUGGCAAGAAGAUGCUGCAUCUGGUCCCAGGCCUCAGAGCUGAGCUGGACAAUAUCCAAAGAAGAAAGAGAAGUCUCUUCUAGAAGCUUUUUGAGAAGACUGAGAAUUUCCUAGGGAACCCAGCCUCUGAGGAUUGGCAGCAAAAAUGAUCCAAGAAAGCACACCUUAAAGUGGGAUUUUUAGACAUUGAUAUCCCACCCCUGGGACUAUAUGACAAGGAAGACACCAGUGCUAUUGUUUAAAAAACUGAAGUAGGAUACACUGAAACAGAAUGUUUUCUCUACUACAGAAAGGAAUCUGGAUUUUUGGCUUGAGCAGUUAAGUGGAUGGUGGUGCUGUUUACUAAGAAUGCAAGUUCAUCUCAAAGAUUUAAGAAGUAGAUCGAAUGUUGUAUUGUUCCUGUAUCUUCUACUUAGACUUCAUGAGCCAGAAUAAUUCAUCCAAGGAAAGAACUCCAAUAGAAGGUCUUUCAGGCACAGAUACAGACUCCAGAGAGAGCUUUGGGGUAAGAAGGCCUUACAGCAGAACAGUUCAAAUCGUUGGACCUUGAAGGCAAACAGAGUCCUUGAUGAGAGACAACAAGCCAUUCUGAGUGGCAGAAAUUCACACGGCGCCUCUCACCCAAAGAUGAAUCUUUAACCAGCUGUGGGAAGCUUGCUUAUCACAAAGCUAACAAACCUUAACAGGGAUGGGCAGACAAGCAGGUUGAUAGCAAUGGAAACCAGUACCCAAGGCACCGUUCGAAGAAGAAAGCCAGAACUGUGAUGCCUGGACAUUAACACCCAAUAGAAUAUUCAUUUUAAAAAAGGAA